UGGGACUUCCUUCAAGGUACAGGGGUUAAGACUUCGUGCUUCCACUGCAAGGGGCAUUGGUUGAAUCCUUGGUGAGAGAACUAAGAUCCCUGUAGGUGAACUAAGAUCUCUGGUCAGAGAACCAAGAUCCUACAUGCCACAUGGCAUGGCCAAAAAGUAAAAUAAAUAAAAUUUAAAAUUACUCGAAUUUUAGAAAAGAACACCUUAUGCCACUCAAUAAAAAGGAGGUGAAAGGAAAGAGGCAGAUCAGCUUGAGUUGUGAAGACAAAGAGGAGAAGAUGGAAGAAGCCCCCACUCUGCUCUUUCUCAGGUAUAAUACCCAUGUGAUAUGUGUAUCUUUCCCCAAGAUUGGUAUGGUUGGUGACCAAAAUGAUGACCACAAGCCCUGAAAACAUGGAUCAUGAGAACAAUGACCCGGAAGCUGGUCAGCUUCAAUUCCUGCUAUUUUGUUCUGGGAACAUAAUACCCCAAAAUUGCCAAACAUCCAAUAUGUAUAUUGGUGUACCUCAACUCUUCACUGUCAAACCCCACUAUGAUGCUCUCUGCUUCUGUUUAUUCAGGCUCCUCUUCCCGCUUAUGCACAGGCUCUUACUUCAGAUUAAAAAAAAAAAACAAAAAAAACAGAGAUCCAAUAACAGGACUGAGAUCUAA
Molecule: long non-coding RNA, 651 nt
Filed under: Capra hircus (goat)
Lineage: Eukaryota; Metazoa; Chordata; Mammalia; Artiodactyla; Bovidae
Description: lncRNA (ENSCHIG00010030309.1)
Source: RNAcentral